RNAcentral lists this ribosomal RNA (239 nucleotides) under uncultured bacterium. Its description in RNAcentral is "partial 16S ribosomal RNA". It matches the Rfam family "Bacterial small subunit ribosomal RNA", at positions 118 to 353 of the family's 1533-position model. The record is from RNAcentral.
UGAGCAAUCUGCCCUUCUCUUCGGAAUAAGCGUUGGAAACGACGUCUAAUGCCGAAUACGACCUCCUUUCGCAUGAUCGGAGGUGGAAAGCUCCGGCGGAGAAGGAUGAGCUCGCGGCCUAUCAGCUAGUUGGUGUGGGUAAUGGCCCACAAGGCGACGACGGGUAGCCGGCCUGAGGAGGGUGACCCGGCCACACGUGGGACUGAGACACGGCCCAGACCUCCGUACGGGAGGCAGCG